AGAGGGGGCAAGCGUUAUUCGGAAUUAUUGGGCGUAAAGGGCGCGUAGGCGGCCUGGCAAGUGAAAGGUGAAAUCCCUCGGCUUAACCGAGGAACUGCCUUUCAGACUGCUUGGCUUGAGACCGGGAGAGGUGAGUGGAAUUCCCAGUGUAGCGGUGAAAUGCGUAGAUAUUGGGAGGAACACCAGUGGCGAAGGCGGCUCACUGGACCGGUACUGACGCUGAGGCGCGAAAGCGUGGGGAGCAAACGGGAUUAGAUACCCCGGUAGUCCACGCCGUAAACGAUGAGUGCUUGGUGUAGCGGGUAUCGACCCCUGCUGUGCCGAAGUCAACACAUUAAGCACUCCGCCUGGGGAGUACGGUCGCAAGGCUGAA
RNAcentral lists this ribosomal RNA (373 nucleotides) under uncultured bacterium. RNAcentral's name for it is "bacterial SSU rRNA". It matches the Rfam family "Bacterial small subunit ribosomal RNA", at positions 527 to 898 of the family's 1533-position model. The record is from RNAcentral.